This 965-nucleotide ribosomal RNA is filed under the name Cytospora ribis. RNAcentral describes it as "partial small subunit ribosomal RNA". It matches the Rfam family "Eukaryotic small subunit ribosomal RNA", at positions 95 to 1069 of the family's 1831-position model. The record is from RNAcentral. Lineage: Eukaryota; Fungi; Ascomycota; Sordariomycetes; Diaporthales; Cytosporaceae.
GGCUCAUUAAAUCAGUUAUCGUAUAUUUGAUAGUACCUACUACAUGGAUAACCGUGGUAAUUCUAGAGCUAAUACAUGCUUAAAAUCCCGACUUCGGAAGGGAUGUAUUUAUUAGAUUAAAAACCAAUGCCCUUCGGGGCUCACUGGUGAUUCAUAAUAACUUCUCGAAUCGCAUGGCCUUGUGCCGGCGAUGGUUCAUUCAAAUUUCUGCCCUAUCAACUUUCGACGGCUGGGUCUUGGCCAGCCGUGGUUACAACGGGUAACGGAGGGUUAGGGCUUGACCCCGGAGAAGGAGCCUGAGAAACGGCUACUACAUCCAAGGAAGGCAGCAGGCGCGCAAAUUACCCAAUCCCGACACGGGGAGGUAGUGACAAUAAAUACUGAUACAGGGCUCUUUUGGGUCUUGUAAUUGGAAUGAGUACAAUUUAAAUCCCUUAACGAGGAACAAUUGGAGGGCAAGUCUGGUGCCAGCAGCCGCGGUAAUUCCAGCUCCAAUAGCGUAUAUUAAAGUUGUUGCAGUUAAAAAGCUCGUAGUUGAACCUUGGGCCUGGCUGGCCGGUCUGCCUCACCGCAUGCACUGGUCCGGCCGGGCCUUUCCCUCUGGGGAUCCGCAUGCCCUUCACUGGGUGUGUCGGGGAACCAGGACUUUUACUGUGAAAAAAUUAGAGUGUUCAAAGCAGGCCUAUGCUCGAAUACAUUAGCAUGGAAUAAUAGAAUAGGACGUUGCGGUUCUAUUUUGUUGGUUUCUAGGACCGCCGUAAUGAUUAAUAGGGACAGUCGGGGGCGUCAGUAUUCAAUCGUCAGAGGUGAAAUUCUUGGAUCGAUUGAAGACUAACUACUGCGAAAGCAUUCGCCAAGGAUGUUUUCAUUAAUCAGGAACGAAAGUUAGGGGAUCGAAAACGAUCAGAUACCGUUGUAGUCUUAACCAUAAACUAUGCCGACUAGGGAUCGGGCGAUGUUAUUUC